AUUGAACGCUGGCGGCAGGCUUAACACAUGCAAGUCGAGCGGGGUGAUGGUGCUUGCACUAUCACUUAGCGGCGGACGGGUGAGUAAUGCUUAGGAAUCUGCCUAUUAGUGGGGGACAACAUCUCGAAAGGGAUGCUAAUACCGCAUACGUCCUACGGGAGAAAGCAGGGGAUCACUUGUGACCUUGCGCUAAUAGAUGAGCCUAAGUCGGAUUAGCUAGUUGGUGGGGUAAAGGCCUACCAAGGCGACGAUCUGUAGCGGGUCUGAGAGGAUGAUCCGCCACACUGGGACGGAGACACGGCCCAGACUCCUACGGGAGGCAGCAGUGGGGAAUAUUGGACAAUGGGGGGAACCCUGAUCCAGCCAUGCCGCGUGUGUGAAGAAGGCCUUACGGUUGUAAAGCACUUUAAGCGAGGAGGAGGCUCUUUUAGUUAAUACCCAAGAUGAGUGGACGUUACUCGCAGAAUAAGCACCGGCUAACUCUGUGCCAGCCGCCGCCGUAA
This 503-nucleotide ribosomal RNA is filed under the name uncultured bacterium. RNAcentral describes it as "partial 16S ribosomal RNA". It matches the Rfam family "Bacterial small subunit ribosomal RNA", at positions 30 to 523 of the family's 1533-position model. The record is from RNAcentral.